Molecule: transfer RNA, 76 nt
Filed under: Deinococcus roseus
Lineage: Bacteria; Thermotogati; Deinococcota; Deinococci; Deinococcales; Deinococcaceae
Description: tRNA-Asp
Rfam family: tRNA
About the family: Transfer RNA (tRNA) molecules are approximately 80 nucleotides in length. Their secondary structure includes four short double-helical elements and three loops (D, anti-codon, and T loops). Further hydrogen bonds mediate the characteristic L-shaped molecular structure. tRNAs have two regions of fundamental functional importance: the anti-codon, which is responsible for specific mRNA codon recognition, and the 3' end, to which the tRNAs corresponding amino acid is attached (by aminoacyl-tRNA synthetases). tRNAs cope with the degeneracy of the genetic code in two manners: having more than one tRNA (with a specific anti-codon) for a particular amino acid; and 'wobble' base-pairing, i.e. permitting non-standard base-pairing at the 3rd anti-codon position.
Source: RNAcentral
GGAUGAUUAGAGCAGCGGUCAGCUCGGUGCCUUGUCAGGGCAAAGGUCACCGGUUCGAAUCCGGUAUCAUCCGCCA